This 112-nucleotide small RNA is filed under the name Pseudorhodoplanes sinuspersici. RNAcentral's name for it is "EcpR1". It matches the Rfam family "EcpR1". From Rfam's summary of the family: Perviously named SmelC291, SmrC10, or Sra33. According to its overproduction phenotype it was renamed Elongated Cell Phenotype RNA1. Lineage: Bacteria; Pseudomonadati; Pseudomonadota; Alphaproteobacteria; Hyphomicrobiales. The record is from Rfam by way of RNAcentral.
AAACCCUACGGAAUGCUCAGGUCCGCCGCAUCUCCUGGGUCCGUGGGGUUCGGCCGGUCCGGGGGCGGUGACGAGUGGCCUCCUCAUGACACCGCUUCCGGCCGGCCACCUC